UACGUAGGGGGCGAGCGUUGUCCGGCAUUAUUGGGCGUAAAGAGCUCGUAGGCGGCUUGGCAAGUCGGAUGUGAAAACUCCAGGCUCAACCUGGAGCCGCCAUUCGAUACUGCUAUGGCUAGAGUCCGGUAGGGGAGUGUGGAAUUCCCGGUGUAGCGGUGAAAUGCGCAGAUAUCGGGAGGAACACCGGUGGCGAAGGCGGUUCUCUGGGCAUUACCUGACGCUGAGGAGCGAAAGUGUGGGGAGCGAACAGG
This 254-nucleotide ribosomal RNA is filed under the name uncultured bacterium. RNAcentral's name for it is "partial 16S ribosomal RNA". It matches the Rfam family "Bacterial small subunit ribosomal RNA", at positions 524 to 776 of the family's 1533-position model. The record is from RNAcentral.